RNAcentral lists this ribosomal RNA (414 nucleotides) under Protosalanx chinensis. RNAcentral's name for it is "partial 16S ribosomal RNA". It matches the Rfam family "Bacterial large subunit ribosomal RNA", at positions 1997 to 2560 of the family's 2925-position model. Lineage: Eukaryota; Metazoa; Chordata; Actinopteri; Osmeriformes; Salangidae. The record is from RNAcentral.
UGGCUAGACGAGGGCUUAACUGUCUCCUCCCCCCAGUCAAUGAAAUUGAUCUCCCCGUGCAGAAGCGGGGAUCCACCCAUAAGACGAGAAGACCCUAUGGAGCUUUAGACACUAGGCAGCCCACGUUACACCCCCUCUCCUAAGAGGAGAAAACAUUGUGGCCCCUGUCUCCCCUGUCUUCGGUUGGGGCGACCGCGGAGGAUAAAAGAGCCUCCAUGUGGACCAAGGUUACGAACCUCACAACUAAGGGCCACCGCCCUAAGCAACAGAAAUUCUGACCAAAAUGAUCCGGCACAAUGCCGAUUAACGGAACAAGUUACCCUAGGGAUAACAGCGCAAUCCUCUCCCAGAGUCCCUAUCGACGAGGGGGUUUACGACCUCGAUGUUGGAUCAGGACAUCCUAUUGGUGCAGCC